Molecule: long non-coding RNA, 1147 nt
Filed under: Elaeis guineensis (African oil palm)
Lineage: Eukaryota; Viridiplantae; Streptophyta; Magnoliopsida; Arecales; Arecaceae
Description: long non-coding RNA (EGUI_LNC081282)
Source: RNAcentral
CGGACUCCUACGGGAGCCGGACCUCGCCCACGGCUUCACCUGCAAAUCUCGUCCGGACUCCUACGGGGGUCGGACUCCGCCCCUGACUCCAAUUGCAGGCAGACUUCGUCCGGACUCCUACGGGAGCCAGACCUCACCCCCGACUCCAAUUGCAGGCAGACUUCGUCCGGACUCCUACGGGAGCCGGAUCUUGCCCACGGCUUCACCAGCAGACUUCGUCCGGACUCCUACGGGAGCCAGAUUUCGCCCACGACUCCAGCUAAACUUCGUUCGGACUCCUACUGGAGUCGGACUUCGCAUCUGACCUUAAUUGCAGGUAGACUUCGUCCGGACUCCUACGGGAGCCGAACCUAGCCCACGGCUUCACCAGCAGACUUCGUCCGGACUCCUACGGGAGCCGGACUUUGCAUCUGACUUUAAUUGCAGGUGGACUUCGUCCGGACUCCUACGGGAACCGGACCUCGCACCUGACUUUAAUUGCAGGUGGAUUUCGUCCGGACUCCUACGGAAGCCGGAUCUCGCACCUGACUUUAAUUGCAGGUAGAUUUCGUCCAGACUCCUACGGAAGCCAGACCUCGUCUCCAACUUCGGCUACGGGAAGACUCCGCCCGGAAUCCUACGGGAGCCGGACUUCAUCCUCGACCUCGACUGAUGGUAAAACUUCAUCCGAACUCCUACAGGAGCCGGGCUCCACCCUCUGCUUCGCUUACAGGUGAACUUCGUCUGGACUCCUACGGGGGUCGGACUUCGCCCCUGACUUUAAUUGCAGGUAGACUUCGCCCAGAUCCCUGCGGGAGCCAGACCUCAUCUCCGACUCCGGCUACGGGAAGACCCCACCCGUAUUCCUACGGGAGCCGGACUUCACCCCCGACUUUGACUGAAGGGAGAUUCCAUCCGAACUUCUGCGAGAGCCGUACUUCUAGCUCCUCUCAGACGGGUGGCUAGCCACCUCUCUCCGCCAUACACCCUAGCCAAACUCCGAUCGAUAGGCUCCAUCACUCCCUGGCAGACCGCAAUAACGGCCACGGCGCUGCUCCACUUCCUGCGACGGAUUUCACGCGACUCCAUCACUUCCUGGCAGACCGCAGUAACGGCCACGGCGCUGCUCCACUUCCUGCGACGGAUUCCACGCGGCUCCAUCACUCCC